UAAUACGGAGGGUGCAAGCGUUAUCCGGAUUCACUGGGUUUAAAGGGUGCGUAGGUGGGCAGGUAAGUCAGUGGUGAAAUCUCCGGGCUUAACUCGGAAACUGCCGUUGAUACUAUCUGUCUUGAAUAUCGUGGAGGUUAGCGGAAUAUGUCAUGUAGCGGUGAAAUGCUUAGAUAUGACAUAGAACACCCAUUGCGAAGGCAGCUAACUACACGAUCAUUGACACUGAGGCACGAAAGCGUGGGGAGCAAACAGGAUUAGAUACCCUGGUAGUCCACGCCCUAAACGAUGGAUACUCGACAUCAGCGAUACACUGUUGGUGUCUGAGCGAAAGCAUUAAGUAUCCCACCUGGGAAGUACGACCGCAAGGUUG
Molecule: ribosomal RNA, 373 nt
Filed under: uncultured bacterium
Lineage: Bacteria
Description: bacterial SSU rRNA
Rfam family: Bacterial small subunit ribosomal RNA
Source: RNAcentral